GCCAGCAUGGCUCAGUGGUUGAGCAUCAACCUAGGAACUAGAAGGUCAGGGUUCAAUUCCCGGUCAGGGCA
This 71-nucleotide transfer RNA is filed under the name Myotis lucifugus (little brown bat). It matches the Rfam family "tRNA". Rfam says of the family: Transfer RNA (tRNA) molecules are approximately 80 nucleotides in length. Their secondary structure includes four short double-helical elements and three loops (D, anti-codon, and T loops). Lineage: Eukaryota; Metazoa; Chordata; Mammalia; Chiroptera; Vespertilionidae. The record is from Rfam by way of RNAcentral.